AGCGGGAUAGAGCAGUUGGCAGCUCGUCGGGUUCAUUCCCCGAAGAUCGUGGGUUCAAAUCCCACUCCUGCAA
This 73-nucleotide transfer RNA is filed under the name Lachnospiraceae bacterium. RNAcentral's name for it is "tRNA-Met". It matches the Rfam family "tRNA". From Rfam's summary of the family: Transfer RNA (tRNA) molecules are approximately 80 nucleotides in length. Their secondary structure includes four short double-helical elements and three loops (D, anti-codon, and T loops). Further hydrogen bonds mediate the characteristic L-shaped molecular structure. tRNAs have two regions of fundamental functional importance: the anti-codon, which is responsible for specific mRNA codon recognition, and the 3' end, to which the tRNAs corresponding amino acid is attached (by aminoacyl-tRNA synthetases). tRNAs cope with the degeneracy of the genetic code in two manners: having more than one tRNA (with a specific anti-codon) for a particular amino acid; and 'wobble' base-pairing, i.e. permitting non-standard base-pairing at the 3rd anti-codon position. Lineage: Bacteria; Bacillati; Bacillota; Clostridia; Lachnospirales; Lachnospiraceae. The record is from RNAcentral. RNAcentral also lists the same sequence under 2 other names.